CUACUAGAUGCCAAAACGCCCUAUUCUAUGUAUUGUGAUAUCCUGGAGCUGAGAUGGAGCUGGAACAGACAGAGUGAUGUCACUGAACUCCUAAAACUAAAAUACCAAUACACCAGAGGCUUCACACAGAUAGAGAGAUACAGAAAUAGAGAAACAGAAAGAGAGAGAGAAAUGGUGAGUGUCUGGAGAGAGAGAGAGAGAGAGAGAGAGAGAGAGAGAGAGAGAGAGAGAGAUGGGGGGGCAGUCGAGCGGGUAGGCAGCACACAGGCAGGCAGAAGUUUUACAACAGAGAGAAACGGAGGAACCAUUGGAAGGUAUAAUUAUACAAAACUACAGGCAACAGGAUAGCAGUGUCUGGCUGCAGCAGCACCACAGAGGUUAGCUCAGUUCUCGAGUGUUUAAUGGAAGUUAGUGGACAACAGAUAGAAGCAGGAGAAUCACAGUGAACUUCUGACACAGAAGCCAUGGAGGAGUUCAAACGAGGGAGAUCUGAUACCUUGAACAUACAGUCAGAGGGUGAGGAGAUGACCCCGGUUACCCUGGUAGCCACAAUGACCCCUGACCCCGAGGUGAACUCUGAGCCCUCCCAGGCAGAGCUGGCUCAGUGUGAGGCGGAGGUCGGAACUCUACUCAGCAUCAUUGCUGAACUCAACAGGAAAAUGGGCGCAUUACAAGCACCAAGUGAUCCAGAUGACCUUAAACCACAGGAGCCAGUCAUCCUCCCUCCGGCUCCAGCCUCCCUGUCCAGCCCUCCUCCAUCCCUCUGCAACCCAGAGAAACGCACUGGCACCGCAUCUAAAACACCAGUAACCAACAGAGAGGGUAGUGGUGAAGUAUGGUCAGAACUCCAGGGAGUCAUGUCUGUUCUGGAGGGUUCCAUCAACACCAGGAGGGCCUGGGCUGCCUCUCACACUGCCUGUGGGCAGGACAGACAGACGGAACACCUCACAGCCACCAGGGACAGCUGGGUACAAGUCACACAGGUCUUAGAGGAGAUGGAGAGAGAGUUUGGGAUCUCGUACCCGUCUGGUCUGCCCCCUGAGGAGCGUCAGCAAUACCAGAAGGACAUCCUGGCACUUCACCAGCGGAACUGUGACCUGCGCAGCAGCCUGCAAAGCAGACAGGAAGAACUGGAGGGGGCAAAGGUCACGGUGGGAGACAUAGAGGUUGAGAGGAACAGUCUACAUGAGAGGUUACUGGGUCUCCAUAAAGCGUGGCGAACAGGCAGCCUCUCUCCUCCCUACAGCUCCUCAGGGAGCUCCAGUGGUGUGGUUCUGAGUCCUGGCUGGGCCUCCCCUGGUUCCCCUGGUUCCCCUUCAUUCCUUGGCUCUCCUCCCUUCCCCGGGUCACCUCUGUUCCUCAGGAGACCCAUCGCCAUGGGGAUCUUCCCGGCCCUCUCAACUGGGGGGGACAUAUCCUCCUCGGCCUCUCCAUCACCCUCCCCCUGGCCUGGGAGUGUCCCACAAGGCAGCCCCUGUCGUAGCCCUAGCCCCAGCCCCAGCGUCAGCCUGGAGGGUGAGACAGACAGACUACAGAGGUGUAUAGAAAGGCUGAAGGCCCGGAACGAGCGUCUGACUGCAGCUCUGGACAGGAGAAAGGGAGAGUCUGAGCAGAUCAGUAUGACGCUCAGCAGACACGAAGCUGACAGCACAGCCCUGCAGAUGGCUCUCCAAUACUGCGAGGAGUGUGAGGAGGCCUACAGUGAGUUACUGUCUGUGUACGAGGGCAGGAGACAGCAGGUCAUACCACACUGGAGACACACAGCAGGCCCGGUCAUGGAGAGUCAGCAGGCCAAAAGUCCCAGGCCGUCCCUUAGGAGUCUGAGAACUGAGGAGUUGUCAACCUCCUUCUCAACACCAGGGGGUGCUGUUGAGACAGAAACACACAUCCAGACCAGGUUCCAUCUUUAUUAUCCAGCCAGGGGGUCCGAGGUAGAGGGGUGCGAGGCGGACAUUCGGGAGCGUAUUGAGCGGUUGAAGCACGACAGGGCAGCAGUGUGUGUCCCUAAGCCAGGGCCUGGGGGAGAGGGGAAUCUCAGCCCAGAUACAGGCACCCUGGCUGGGCUUAGAGGGAGCCGCGGAGCACAGGGGGGCCAGGACACCUCCAACCCCCAGAGCACCAAGAGAGAGAAGGCUGUUCUGCUCUAUGACCUGGUCACUGUCAGGGAGGAGAUGUCGGAGCUGCGAGGUUUAAUCCGUCUGACGGAGAAGGAGCGGAGGUGUCUGGACUGGAGUCUAAUGGCCCAGAAGGCCCAGGAUGCAGCUGGAGCCCUGAUCUCUGAGAGCCUCGCUGAGGAGAUAGCGGACAGGAGGACAGAACAGCAGAGGACUUCUGAGAACGAGGAUAAGCUAAGCAGCGAUGGAGACAUCCCUGGGCCUCAAAACCGCACCAUCCUUCGAGAGCUACAGGCUGUCCUGCAACGGGAGCAGGUGCUGAAGAGGAGGGUGUCGGCGGUGAGGGAGUCUCUGGACUUGGUUCUCUCCGACAGCUCCUCUCGCAAGAGAGACAAUGAUGAGCAGAUGGCUCGGCUCGCACAAGCUCACAGCAAGGCCACAGGGUCGUACCGGAACGCUCGCAGGAAGUACAGGGAGAAGCUGUGGAGGCUGGAGAGUCAGGUGUCAGCAAUGUCAGAUCGUCACAUGACCCAGAUCGGGGCCCUGAAGGCCACGCUGGAGGCCAUGGAGUGCAGGAGGGAGGAGACUGUACUCUGACUGAGCUGAGGCUCUCUCCCUCUAUCAUUUCCCUCUCUCCCUCGCCUUUUCCCUUUCUUCAUCUUUCUCCAUCUUCUUGCCCCCCCCCCUCCAUCUCAUUCACUCUCCUUCUCUCCUCUCCCCAUCUCUCUCUCCCGCCCUCUCUUCAUUCAUCUCCCUCUCUCCCCCUCUGCCCUGUCUGAGGCGGCCGGCCAGCUGCAGCUGUGACCAGCGGUCAGGAGGUUAAGGCAAAGGUUGAGUGUCACACCCACCGGGUCACAGCGGUGCCUGGCUGUUGUGUCAACCUCUGAAUGGAGGGUUCAGGGGGCCAGACUAGGAGGGUCUCAAUCCAGGUUCUAACCUCUGGUUGACUCCGCUUUCCUGGCAAAAGAUGUCACGAGAAGGGGAAAAGAGAAGGGGAAGAGAAGGGGAAAGAGAAGGAGAUAUUGAUGCACUCACCCAUAUCUAUAGCGUUGUUACACUAAACAUCAUGUGGAAAGAACCCUUGGGCUUAUGUCAUUAUAGUAAUGUGUGAUUCCUCUACAGUCUCAGGAUUCAGCUGCUGUAUGAUAGGGUCCAGCUGAUGAUCAUGUAUUUUCAUGAACUGGAAUGUGUUUCACAAUGACUGUGUUGAAUUAUUGAAUGAUCUUAUCUCCUUGGUUUGGAAUGAAAUCAUGCUACUGAAAGACAUAUUGAAUCUAUUUGAAAAAGUACAAGUUUAAUAUAAUCCUGAUGUAAUGAUGUAAUGCAGGAAAUGUGGAUAUGAAGUGUGUUUGCUUUGCAUAAGGGAUAUAUCAAAAAUGUUCCACACCACCGCCAUGUACAAAAAUGAUCUGUGAACAGAUUGAGGAUAGGGAAAAAGGGGAUCUGUAGAUGCCUGGGAACAUUAUUACACAAUGACAGAGGCUGUCAAUCACACACACAGAGGGCAAUAACCCUAGGGUUGAAGGUCACCUCAUUUACUCUCUGCAUCCGUAUGUCAUUUAAAUAAAUUGUCCUGCUAAGCCGUAUAAAGAGA
Salmo salar (Atlantic salmon) is the source of this 3708-nucleotide non-coding RNA. NCBI's taxonomy places the organism in Eukaryota, Metazoa, Chordata, Actinopteri, Salmoniformes, Salmonidae. The record is from RefSeq and is a predicted model, not a curated record.